CAGUAGGACCAGUAGAACCAUUAGGACCAGUAGGACCAGUAGGACCAUUAGGACCAGUAGGACCAGUAGAACCAGUAGGACCAGUAGGACCAGUAGAACCAUUAGGACCAGUAGGAUCAGUAGAACCAGUAGAACCAGUAGGACCAGUAGGGUCAGUAGGACCAGUAGGACCAGUAAAACCAGUAGAACCAGUAGGACCAGUAGGACCAGUAGAACCAUUAGGACCAGUAGGACCAGUAGAACCAGUAGGAGGCAGCACCUCCCCCUCCCCCUCCACACCAAUAAACUAAUAAUCAAAAAUGAUAAGUUAGGCAUUGGAAAUGGCCAUAAUAUGAUAAUGAUAAGAUGACCGUAAUAUGGUGAUGAUAAGAUGACCAUAAUAUGAUAAUGAUAAGAUGACCAUAAUAUGAUAAUGAUAAGAUGACCAUAAUAUGAUAAUGAUAAGAUGACCAUAAUAUGAUACGAUGACUCUAAUGGUCAACAAAAUGACCUCUGUGUUGUGUCCUCUCUCAGAAGAGACUGCUCCACUUCCUUCUCCCCUUCCUGCCCCACUUCCUGCCCCACUUCCUGCUCCACUUCCUGCUCCACUUCCUGCUCCACUUCCUGCCCCACUUCCUGCCCCACUUCCUGCCCCACUUCCAGCCCCCCGCCUGAGGAGGGCGCCCUCUGAGCCGGAGACGGAGGAGGCCAGCAACCUCAAGGGGGCGGAGUCUCCUUCUGACCGGAGGGGUUCUUCUGGGUCAGAACCAGGAGAGGAUCAGAGAGCAGAGGAGGGUGAGGAAGACUCCCCUGAUGAUGAAGAACCCUCGGUCUGAGGCCGUCCUCCAUCUCUGCGCUCCAGGGGUCCGUUCUCCCCGGUCCUCCCUCAGUCCACUGGACCAGACCAGACCGGUCCAGACCCCAUAUAGGAUCAUAAUAAUAAUAAUAAUGCCUCCUAACUUCAUUACAGAUUCAUGAAUCAGAUAAGAUGUUCGAUCUUUACUGUCUUUUUUUAUAUAUGAAUAUAAUGGUGAUGGUUUUAAUUUUACUGGGAAAUUAUAUAUGCUUUUUAUUUUUUAUUUGGUUAAAAUAAAUCCUGUUCUAUUGUGGGAAACCCUUCCUAUCUAUAUAUACGAAGAUGUACGUCAAAUCUAAAGUUGUGAAAUAUUUCUGGAUAUUAAAGUCUUGAUUGAUACUGACUCUCAUUUCAUUUUGAUUCCUAUCUCUCUCUCUCUCUCUCUCUCUCUCUCUCUCUCUCUCUCUCUCUCUCUCUCUCUCUCUCUCUCUCUCUCUCUCUCUCUCCCCCUCCCUCCCUCUCUCUCUCUCUCUCUCCUUCCUCCCUGUCUCCUCUCCCUCCCUCCUCCCUCUCCCUGCUCCCUGUCUCCUCUCCCUCUCUCCCUCCCUCCCUCCUCUCCCCCUCCCUCCUUCCCCUAACCCCUAUAUAUUCCCUUGAGGUGUUUUCCGACCAGUCUGGUGAAGCUCUUCUGUGGAGACCUUGAGUGUGGACUGUAGCUUGGUUUCAGUCGGUCGUAGUCUGGCCGUUUCUAGAUUUAAUUUAGAAGCCGUUGCAUCAGUGCUGGUUUGAGAAGUGUUAUUAGCUGUAGAGCGUUACUAUUGGCUGUGCUAUUAUUAGUUUUAGAGCUAUUCUAUUGGCUAUAAUAUUAGUUAGUAGUUUAAGGGUUAUACUCUCAGCUGUUCCAUUAGUUAGUAGUUUAAGGGUUCUACUAUUAACUGUACUGUCAGUUAGUAGUUAAAGGGUCAUACUCUCAGCUGUACCAUUGGUUAGUAGUUUAGUUAGUAGUUAAAGGGUUCUACUUUAAGCUGUCCUAUUAGUUAGAAGUUUUAGGGUUCUACUCUCAGCUGUUCCUUUGGUUAGUAGUUUUAAGGGUUCUACUGUUAGCAUUACUGUUGGUUAGUAGUUUAGUUGGUAGUUUUAAAGCUAUUAUAUAACCUGUUCCAUUAGUUAGUAGUUUAGUUAGUAGUUUGAGGGUUCUACUCUCAGCUGUUCCAUUGAUUAGUAGUUUAGUUAGUAGUUAAAGGGUUCUACUGUUAGCAUUACUGUUGGUUAGUAGUUUAGUUGGUAGUUUUAGAGCUAUUCUAUUACCUGUUCCAUUAGUUAGUAGUUUAAGGGUUGUGAUCAGCUGGUUCCAUGGACGGUUUGGACGCUGCCGUGUUUCUACAAACCUGGCAGCACUUUGACCCUGAAGGUACGUUCACUACCAUCACUAUACACUACCUCACUAGUUCACCACCUUCACUAAUUCACUACCUUCACUAUUCACUACCUCACUAGUUCUAUACCUUCACUAGUUCACUACCUUCACUAGUUCACUACCUUCACUAUUCACUACCUCACUAGUUCACUACCUUUACUAGUUCACUAUUCGUUACCUUCACUAAUUCACUACCUUCACUAUUCACUACCUCACUAGUUCUAUACCUUCACUAGUUCACUACCUUCACUAUUCACUAGUUCACUACCUUCACUAUUCACUACCUUUACUAGUUCACUAUUCACUACCUUCACUAGUUCACUACUUGCACUAUUCACUAGUUCUCCACCUUCACUAUUCACUAGCUUCACUAUUCUCUACUUUCACUUUUCAGUAUAUUCACUAGUUCACUACCUUCUCUAUUCGCUAUUCAGCAUGUUUACUAUUCACUAAGUUCACUAUUCACUACGUUUACUACCUAACGCUGCGGAACCUUUAUAAUAAACUCUGACAACUGAUCAAGUACAGAUUCUGAUCAAUGAAAAGGUUUUAAAGUGUACCUCACAAACGACAGAAACAUUGGUGACAUAGUAGUUAGCUGUAAGUAGUGAGUAGAACACUUAAAAACGGUUUAACUUUAACCAUUGCAGCUCUCCGUCUCUAGUAUUAUGGGGUAGAUCUUCUGCCGGAGGAGCAGAGAACCCGGAC
Gadus morhua (Atlantic cod) is the source of this 2900-nucleotide long non-coding RNA. NCBI's taxonomy places the organism in Eukaryota, Metazoa, Chordata, Actinopteri, Gadiformes, Gadidae. The record is from Ensembl.